Molecule: long non-coding RNA, 759 nt
Filed under: Lactuca sativa (garden lettuce)
Lineage: Eukaryota; Viridiplantae; Streptophyta; Magnoliopsida; Asterales; Asteraceae
Description: long non-coding RNA (LSAT_LNC009954)
Source: RNAcentral
ACUUGUCAAUGCCCGCCGAAGUUUUACGGCAAAACCGACACGGCACCCGGAGACGUAAAUAGUGAAUUUAUGAUAGAGGGCUUUUUAGCCUUAGUGAUCUAAACCAAAGUUGUAGUAUACGUUAAACCGAGAACAUCCAUAAAAAGAACGCCCAAAUCUGACUUCGUAUGAGGAAGUUAUGAUUUUUCUAAGAUUCGGCUUAAAAGUGUACAGCCCGCAACUCGAAUUUUAGUUCGAGUGGUUUUUGGCUUAUUCGACCUAAAUGAGAGUUGAAGAUAUCAUUAAUAGGAACUCAAUGGUAAAAAGACAGACGAAAACGAAGUCCGUAUGAAGGAGUUACGAAUUCUUCGCAGUCAUGUAGCAGUCUAAACUCCUCCUAUUGUUAAAUUUAAGAUCAGCUGAGAAUUAGCCAACGGAGUCUAAAUGAAAGUUGUAGAUCUUGAUUUUACCUACGCGUGAAUAUAAAGAACGUCGAAAACGGAGCUUGUAUGUGAGAGUUAUGAUUUUUCUAAGUCGGGAGGCUGAUACGCGAUAGGGGUGAUGUGGCACCACCAUAAUUGGACACGUGGCACCACCAGAGGGCUGCCACAUGCCCCAACUCAGCAAGUAGGUCCUCCUACUCGGCGAUUCCAUCAGUCAGCACCCCUAUAAAUAGAGGUGUCGGGUUCCCUCACUUCCUCACACCUUCCAAUUUCUCUUUCUCUCUCUACUCUCUCUCUAAGCUCCCUAACCCCCCAAAGCCUAGGGUAACUCCCUAGC